CUUUUGAUGGCGACCGGCGCACGGGUGAGUAACACGUAUCCAACCUGCCUCAUACUCGGGGAUAGCCUUUCGAAAGAAAGAUUAAUACCCGAUGUUAUAGUCCUACCGCAUGAUGGGAUUAUUAAAGAAUUUCGGUAUGGGAUGGGGAUGCGCUCCAUUAGUUAGUUGGCGGGGUAACGGCCCACCAAGACAACGAUGGAUAGGGGUUCUGAGAGGAAGGUCCCCCACAUUGGAACUGAGACACGGUCCAAACUCCUACGGGAGGCAGCAG
Molecule: ribosomal RNA, 271 nt
Filed under: uncultured bacterium
Lineage: Bacteria
Description: partial 16S ribosomal RNA
Rfam family: Bacterial small subunit ribosomal RNA
Source: RNAcentral